This 453-nucleotide small RNA is filed under the name Drosophila virilis. RNAcentral describes it as "GJ26236". The record is from RNAcentral. Lineage: Eukaryota; Metazoa; Arthropoda; Insecta; Diptera; Drosophilidae.
CUGCCAUUGCCCCAUUAAAGGCGUUCAGAUGAACCGGUUCAGGGUCAGUCGACCAAGUCGUCGUCGUCGUCGUCGUCGUCGUCGUCGUCGUCGUCGUCGCCUUCCGUCCUGUUGUCCAUGGACAACAACUUUCAAGUUCAGUUGGUGGAUUUGGCAAGGGCAGGAACUGGGCCAAGGUCGGCGGGCAAGCCAGAAUAAUGCCGCACACAGAAUACCAGAAUACCAGGUGUGGUCAGGAGGGUGUCGCGCUGCAUUGUCACGAGUUAGCUGCUGCCGCUGCUGCUGGGCACGAGCAUGACGUCAUGGGGGCAAAUUUUGAGCAGCAUUUUGUGUGGCGCGUGUGAAACGAAGCGCGGCAAAGACAAGUUUGGGGGUUUUACCCAUUCACCCAUUCGCAUUCGGAUGCCAAGAAAAAUUGACAACAACAACUACAGCAACAGCAAUAAAUCGAAA